RNAcentral lists this long non-coding RNA (811 nucleotides) under Physcomitrium patens. RNAcentral describes it as "long non-coding RNA (PPAT_LNC012119)". Lineage: Eukaryota; Viridiplantae; Streptophyta; Bryopsida; Funariales; Funariaceae. The record is from RNAcentral.
CUGUAGGAGGUAGUAUGGUGUUUUACUAAUACUCAAGCAGUCUAUCGGGUUCUUGACUACUCAAAUACAAUCUAUAUCAGAUUACAAUGUAAAAGCUUAAUUCCAAUAUAAAAUACUUAGAGAUCCUAUAUAACUUCAAUCUCUUUUGUUAUUUUUAUUUUAUUUUAUUUAUUUUAUGUUUUUUAUUUUAUCUUUAUCGUUAAUUACCUUAAUCCUAGACCGUGAACUUCGGCAAGCUGUGAUCCUCAAUCUGUCCUUCCGACUUGUUGUGAAACAUCUAUCGCUAGUGUUUCAACAAGCUCUUUUGAAUGUUCAAGAAGUUCCAGUUCAACCCCGCUUACAGAUUGUAAGGCUAUGCUGUAAUCCGCACCGAUGUCCCUUGGUCGCUCGUCGAUAUUCCUCUUAUUCCUAUCAAUAGGUCCCCAGUUAUCAUAAAAAUCCUAAACAACCUCCAAUUUGUCAACUCCCAAUACCUCUUUAAACUGUUGGCAAAUAUCCUCUAUCCAUACAGUCAGAUUAACACAACCACGCAUGCAUUCAGCAUACUCAACCUUCUAGACAACUUUGAAUUUCAACACCAGAAGUAUCUUCCAUUUCAUCAACAAUCAAGAGUACCAGCCUUUCCUCUUUUACAGAAAAAAAUCUAGUGUACCAAUAUAACACUGACUUUCAGUAACGAUUGCCCCAAUCUUCUCAAAACCCUAUGAAGAAAAAGAAAACCCCAAUUCUCUGUCUUUUUUCUCCAAAGCAUGAAGCUAGCUCUCUGACCUAAAACCCUCGAUUCUCAAAAAAAAAGUCCAUUUCUUAACCU